UUUUUUGUUUUGCGACUCCUGCCGCGCCUCCUUGGCAGCCUUUAGGUGUCCGAACUUUCACAGACCUGGAGUCCCCAGCUAGCCGGGGCACGGUAGAUAAAGGACAUUGAUCCUUUCUCUUUAGCUGCAUUUUCAGUUUUUGUAUUGUAAAAUAGAUACAACGUUGUAAAACUUUAUUGAAAGGUGAGGGAGAAAAACGUGUGAUCUCAUAAACUUUCAGAAGCUGUUAUUUCCUUUUUGGCACAGUGCUGCCCAUUCUGACUCUGUGAGGCAUGAUGUGGUGGGAAGAGUAAACUCUGAGACACGUUUAAAGGUGAUCGGUUCCAGGUGAAAAGUUCAAGAACAAAAGAGUGAGUCCAGCAAGAUGAAACUGCAUUGCUAAGCAGGUGCCACCUCCCUUCAGAUCCUUGAGGGUCAGGUCAUGGAAAGCUUCAGAAUGGUAAAGAUCAUGCUGGCUCCCAAGAGGAGAAUGGCUACAGGUAGAGCACUGGGGAGGCCACUGUUACAGUCCAAACAGUGGUAGCUUGGAGCAGAGUGGUAAGAGUAAAGAUGAUGAAAAAUGAAGAGAACCAAUAAGAAUUUUAAGAUUACAACUAACAGAAUAUGAUGGGAUCAUAUUUGGGAAGUAGGGGAGAGAACAAUUUCAAAGACAACUUUUGGAUAUCUGACUUGUACAACUGAUACAUGGUAGUAUAUAUAUAUAUUUUUAACAUAAGAUGCACAGGAAGUGAUCAGGUUUAGGUCACAUAUACAAGUAAGAUCUGGUUUAAACAUUUACCCAGAGCAAUUUGGAGGCAGACUUGCCUGAAUAUUAUGAUAAGUACUUCUAUACUACUAAAUAAGUAUUGUUAUAAAGUAAAUGAAUGAAAAGGAUAAAUUUAAUCAGGAUCAGAACAUGGCCCUUGAGAGAGAUUCUGCUGUGUGCUUUACACUAUACAGUUUAAUUGCUACAGGCAAAUCUGUUUGCUACAAACAAACAGGACCAGAAAUAUGCGCUGGAGACAUUUCACAUCCAACAGUCAAAAUGUUUCUUUGGACAAGAUAAUAUUCAAUAGAAAGGAUGUUAGAUAUAUAGUAAAAUACAAAGAGAAAAAAGCAGUUAAAAUGAAGCAAAAACAUUUAUUUCCAGUGUAUUUGUAUCAUGUUCUAGUACUUUUUUUUUUAUUUUGCACCAUUUUAAAUUCCACUUCAGGUUGACCUCAAAUACUUUUCUCCCCUUCUUCUCAUGAGCCAUUUAAUAAUAGUUUGUUAUGCUGUAAUCAGUUUCCAAUUCAUGACCUUCUCACUAGCUUCAGAACUAAUGCAGAAAGACAUUGCUUCAGUGCAAGAGGAGAGUAACUGCCCUUCAAAAGACUCAUUUCUGGAAAUCCUGUGUUGCCAUUAAGAUGUCAUUAUGACUUGGACAGAAGUUUUUUUUUCCAGUAGCAACAGGAAACUACUGCACGUACUUCAGCUGUGGACAGUGGUUAUUCUCUGGGGAGCUGAGAACGAAGAUUGGGGUCUAAGAGAGCUUUUACUCUCCAUUCUUCUGUAAUAUGUGAACGUUUUGUUUUAUUACAGAUUUAUGAAGUAACUUUAAUCAAAAUAGCCCUUAAAAGAUAAACUAGGAGUUCCCUGGUGGCCUAGUGAGUUAAAGAUCUGGUGUGGUCACUGCUGUGGCUUGAGUCAUUGCUGUGUCGUGGUUUUGAUCCCUGGCCUAAGAACUUUUUGCAUGCUAUGGGUGCAGCCAAAAAAAAAGAGAGAGAGAGAUAAACUAUGUAAUAUUAAGUGAAAAGACAAAGUGUAAAAAAUUGUGUAUGGAAUAAUUUCUCAACCAUGUAAAAACUGGACAAAGAUAAGAAAGAAGCUUACCAAAAUGUUAGCAGCUUUGGGUCCUAAGUAGGGAGAUUGUGGAUGUUCAGGAUUCAUUUUUCUGUUCAUUCACCCUAGUUAUCCAUUGAGCAUCUACUCUGUGCUAGAGAAUGUGCUAGGAGCUGAGAUUGCAGGUGGAAAUGAAAUAGACAGGACCCUUGCCUUCAUGGAACUUAUCCAUGGUAGAGAAGGCAGAUAUUAAACAAUCACCCAAAUUAUUAAUUAAUUAUAUUGUGGUAAGUUCAACAAAGGAGAAGUACAGGUGACAUCAUCAUGUCCUUGGGGAGACUAACCUAGGCAGGGACUGCUUUCCUGAGGAACUGAGAACCGAAGGAUGAAUGGGA
This 2195-nucleotide long non-coding RNA is filed under the name Sus scrofa (pig). RNAcentral describes it as "lncRNA (ENSSSCG00065010508.1)". The record is from RNAcentral. Lineage: Eukaryota; Metazoa; Chordata; Mammalia; Artiodactyla; Suidae.